GACGUAGGAAGCAAGCGUUGUCCGGAAUUACUGGGCGUAAAGAGCUCGUAGGCGGGACCGUAAGUCCGAGAGGAAAUCUCAAGGCUCAACUUUGGGGCUUUCUUGGAUACUGCGGUUCUUGAGGAUGAGAGAGGUAAGUAGAAUUCCCGGUGUAGCGGUGAAAUGCGUAGAUAUCGGGAGGAAUACCAGUGGCGAAGGCGGCUUACUCGCUCAUUCCUGACGCUGAGGAGCGAAAGCGUGGGGAGCAAACGGG
Molecule: ribosomal RNA, 253 nt
Filed under: uncultured bacterium
Lineage: Bacteria
Description: partial 16S ribosomal RNA
Rfam family: Bacterial small subunit ribosomal RNA
Source: RNAcentral